RNAcentral lists this long non-coding RNA (1924 nucleotides) under Acanthaster planci (crown-of-thorns starfish). RNAcentral's name for it is "uncharacterized LOC110987580". The record is from RNAcentral. Lineage: Eukaryota; Metazoa; Echinodermata; Asteroidea; Valvatida; Acanthasteridae.
GUAGGACCAGCGGCGUGAUCUUUCAUCACGUCAGUAGCGGCACCGGGUUAACAUUGCAUUUUGCCAAUAUGUUACACGACGAUAUGCAACCCAGGAUCCGUCACCUUCUUCUCCAGCAACUAAAGCAGACUUACAAGAAAUUCUAGCAGUUUUUGUAUCCUCAUCCGAUGAAAAAUUAAGAAAUACGAGAUCCGACUUCCUAAAGUUACACAACAAGGCUACAAAUUCUCUAGUGGAGAAGAUUAAGGACUCAACGAAAAGUAAAUGGCGCAGGGAAGGAAACCAGCGGCAGUUUCAGUUUAACCAGCAAGUAUCAAGCUAAGUUAUCGUCCAGUUUUUCCCCCUUUUUUUCAAGGAUGUUCUGAAAAAUCUUCUAUGCCAGCAUGGCACUGCUUUAACGUUCAAAUUGGGCGUGCAAAAAUUCGGGCGGGGCGUGGUGCCCCACCGGUGCCCAAAUACACUGACAGAACCCAAAAGUGUGAUCAUUGGUGUUUUAUUCUGUGUUAGGAUUAGUUUUAUGAAAUAAUAUUUAUGGGAGUAAUAAAUGUUCAUUUGAACGACCAGGUGUGAAUUAGAGCAUAUUUACUUUCUUCGCGGUGCGUGAUUUUUCUAUGGCUUAUUCAGUUGGAUGUUACGUAACAUAAGUAGGUUCGCUUAGGACCAGUGGCGUGAUCUUUCAUUCACGUUAGUAGCGGCACCGGGGUAACAUUGCAUUUUUAAAAAUAAAAUUGGUAGCAGGCAAAGAACGAAGUUCAAGCGUGACCAAGGGUCAGAGGUUGAUAGUAAUGAUGGUGGUAGUCAGUCUUUUCGUCGACCUGGUCAAGUCCUUCCCUUUGGUCAAACCUACGGCAGACCUUACGCAGGCGAAUCAUGCUUCAUAUGUGGCAGUUACGCCCACUGGAAGGCCACGUGUCCUAGGCGUAGUGCAGCCAGUACAGCCUCCACCUCCUCUGAUACACAAUAAAGUUAAGUCGACCACUGUGAGUAGUUCCGAUAAUCAAGCAGACCUGAAUGACUUUUCAAUAACGGAAUGUUUUUGUGAAUAUGAGGAAAACAAUGGAAUAUCCGCCAUCAGGGUUGCAGGUAGAUUGGUUAAUCAUAUCCGAUUUGGGGAAAAUAUUUCUGCACCUGAUUUCAUUAUCAAUACCAUAAAAUUUGGUUAUGUCAUUCCUUUUAUUCUUCAGCCUCCCUCUCUUUCCAAGAACAACAAAUCAGCUCCGUCUCACGUGCCGUUUGUAAACCAAGCUAUUACAGACUAGUCAAUUUGGGUAUCGUAGAAAGAUGUCCAAAACAACCCACAAUAGUGAGUCCACUUACAGUCUCGGCGCAGAAUACUGGGAAGAAGUGUCUCAUCCUAGAUUUAAGGUAAUAUUCAGUAAAGGAGUUUGGCAGCAGAGGCAGCGAGAGGGCAAUUCAGAAUUGCAGGAGCUGGCGUCACAGUUACCAACAGUCAUGCCAAGUGCAGGGGCCAGUUCUACUGUGCAUAGUCGGAUGCAUUUAUAAAAAUGGGAGGAUUGGGCAUCUAAACAAGGCAAGGAAUCACAUAUCAGCAAGUAGUGAAAGUCUGCGUCAGUGGAGCCCACAAUGUGACACUUCAUAACAGCAACACAGGAGAUGUCCCAGUCAAUGUGGAAAAGAAUUCGUGUGACAAAAAGUCACAAGAAAGUACCUUUCGAGCAGACAGUAUCAGCAGUCUAUCUCCAACAGCAAAGAGUUUGGCAAGUCCAUCCUGUUCACCAGGCACUCAAGAGCUGCGUACCCCGUCCAACAAAACAGACAGUGGGCCUAACCAAACAGAAAGAACAACCAAAAAGAGGCCACGAUCCAAUGAUAUUCGAAGCAACACGACUGCGAAGAAGAAAAUAAUAGACGCUGAUGUCAUAGUGAUCAGUGACAGUGAUGGUGACAAUGACCUGGACUCGCC